AUCCAGUUGACGAGUCCUAAAUAGGACGAAGCUUGCAUCCUGGAU
RNAcentral lists this non-coding RNA (45 nucleotides) under Schistosoma bovis. Lineage: Eukaryota; Metazoa; Platyhelminthes; Trematoda; Strigeidida; Schistosomatidae. RNAcentral also lists the same sequence under 1 other name. The record is from RNAcentral.